AUAGAGAGCACUGGAACAGCUGCCCAGGGAGGAGCAGCUGCUGAUGUGUUUGCUCUCUCUAUGUCCAAUGUCAGAUCCCCCACGUCCCCCUGCAACUUCAAAUUCAUCUUCUCCAAGGAAGCACACUUGGAAUUCACAGUCCCCGCCUGGUGUCCUGCUUUCUGGAGACGCUGAGCGAGUUUUUUCCUUAAGGAACAUAAAUAAAACAUGAAUAAGAUUGAAAAAA
This is a long non-coding RNA of Empidonax traillii (willow flycatcher), 226 nucleotides long. RefSeq lists it as uncharacterized. NCBI's taxonomy places the organism in Eukaryota, Metazoa, Chordata, Aves, Passeriformes, Tyrannidae. The transcript is spliced from 2 exons. The record is from RefSeq and is a predicted model, not a curated record.